GCCUAGCUGGCUCAGUUGGAAGAGCAUGUGACUUUUGAUCUCAGGGUUAUGAGUUUGAGCCCCAUGUUGGGUA
Molecule: transfer RNA, 73 nt
Filed under: Canis lupus familiaris (dog)
Lineage: Eukaryota; Metazoa; Chordata; Mammalia; Carnivora; Canidae
Also listed under: 1 other name
Description: tRNA-Lys (TTT) (tRNA-Lys-TTT-4-1)
Rfam family: tRNA
About the family: Transfer RNA (tRNA) molecules are approximately 80 nucleotides in length. Their secondary structure includes four short double-helical elements and three loops (D, anti-codon, and T loops).
Source: Rfam by way of RNAcentral